This 521-nucleotide ribosomal RNA is filed under the name uncultured bacterium. RNAcentral describes it as "partial 16S ribosomal RNA". It matches the Rfam family "Bacterial small subunit ribosomal RNA", at positions 899 to 1397 of the family's 1533-position model. The record is from RNAcentral.
ACUCAAAGGAAUUGACGGGGACUUGCACAAGCAGAGGAUUAUGUGGUUUAAUUCGAUGGCAAACGAAGAACCUUACCAAGAUUUGAAACCUAGCUGAAUCUAUUUGGAAACAGAUAGAGUCCCACAAGGACAGUUAGGCAGGUGAUGCAUGGCCGUCGUCAGUUCGUGAUUUGAAUUGUUCCCUUAAGUGGGGUAACGAACGCAACCCUCGUUGUCUGUUACACGUAUCAGGCGAGACUGCCCAGCUUUUUGUACACAAGCGCAUGCUUGCAGACAAGAAGCUGGGAGGAAGGCGAGGAUGACGCCAGGUCAGCAUGUCCCUUUGAUAUCUUGGGCUACACACAUAAUACAAUGGCGGCUACAACGGGUCGCGACGGGGAAACCCUGAGCCAAUCCUAAUAAAAGCCGCCCCAGUUCAGAUUGAGGGCUGAAACUCGACCUCAUGAAGUUGGAUUUGCUAGUAAUCGCGGGUCAGACAUACCGCGGUGAAUACGUUCUCAAGUCUUGUACACACCGCCCGU